This 998-nucleotide ribosomal RNA is filed under the name uncultured bacterium. RNAcentral describes it as "bacterial SSU rRNA". It matches the Rfam family "Bacterial small subunit ribosomal RNA", at positions 355 to 1375 of the family's 1533-position model. The record is from RNAcentral.
UGGGGAAUAUUGCACAAUGGAGGAAACUCUGAUGCAGCGAUGCCGCGUGAGGGAAGAAGGUUUUAGGAUUGUAAACCUCUGUCUUCAGGGACGAAAAAAGACGGUACCUGAGGAGGAAGCUCCGGCUAACUACGUGCCAGCAGCCGCGGUAAUACGUAGGGAGCGAGCGUUGUCCGGAAUUACUGGGUGUAAAGGGAGCGUAGGCGGGAUCGCAAGUCAGAUGUGAAAACUAUGGGCUUAACCCAUAAACUGCAUUUGAAACUGUGGUUCUUGAGUGAAGUAGAGGUAAGCGGAAUUCCUAGUGUAGCGGUGAAAUGCGUAGAUAUUAGGAGGAACAUCAGUGGCGAAGGCGGCUUACUGGGCUUUAACUGACGCUGAGGCUCGAAAGCGUGGGGAGCAAACAGGAUUAGAUACCCUGGUAGUCCACGCCGUAAACGAUGAUUACUAGGUGUGGGGGGACUGACCCCUUCCGUGCCGCAGCAAACGCAAUAAGUAAUCCACCUGGGGAGUACGACCGCAAGGUUGAAACUCAAAGGAAUUGACGGGGGCCCGCACAAGCAGUGGAGUAUGUGGAUUAAUUCGAAGCAACGCGAAGAACCUUACCAGGUCUUGACAUCGUAUGCAUACCUCAGAGAUGAGUGAAAUCUCUUCGGAGACAUAUAGACAGGUGGUGCAUGGUUGUCGUCAGCUCGUGUCGUGAGAUGUUGGGUUAAGUCCCGCAACGAGCGCAACCCUUACUGUUAGUUGCUACGCAAGAGCACUCUAGCAGGACUGCCGUUGACAAAACGGAGGAAGGUGGGGAUGACGUCAAAUCAUCAUGCCCCUUAUGACCUGGGCCUCACACGUACUACAAUGGCUGUCAACAGAGGGAUGCAAAGCCGCGAGGUGGAGCGAACCCCUAAAAGCAGUCUUAGUUCGGAUUGUAGGCUGCAACCCGCCUACAUGAAGUCGGAAUUGCUAGUAAUCGCAGAUCAGCAUACUGCGGUGAAUACGUUCCC